This 291-nucleotide long non-coding RNA is filed under the name Lathyrus oleraceus (garden pea). RNAcentral describes it as "Pisum sativum (pea) long non-coding RNA (PSAT_LNC000585)". The record is from RNAcentral. Lineage: Eukaryota; Viridiplantae; Streptophyta; Magnoliopsida; Fabales; Fabaceae.
CUUAUUUUUCAGCUUUAGCAGUCUGCGCGGAAACGAUCAUAACUGGAGUUCCGGGAAUCCGUUUGAGGCGUUCUAAAAAUCGCCGGAAAGCUAAGAGAGAGAGCUACGACUUUCGUGUUGGAGUCGAAGUCAGAUUCGGAGCUCAAAAUUCCAGAAUUUCGUUUCAAGUUACAGCAUUAGAAUUUUAUUUUAGUGUUGGGUCAUGUUGUGGGCCUGGGUUAUAUUUUCGACCCAAUUGGGUUUUGAACCGGAUCCAUUUUUUAUCUUUUUAAGGAGAACGUGUGUACUGUU